CCCAGAGUUAUUCCUGGGAAAUGAAGAGUUGUGACCACACUAGCCUUACAGCUACUCUGAGUAUUCCAUUCUAGAGCUUGAUGACUGGGGACAUUUCCAAAGGGGGGAUGUGUUUUCACCCAGCCUAUUCACCAGAUCUGGUACUGAGACUUUCAGCUCUUCUCCCAAAUCAGUAUGUCCAUGAAAGCUGACUCCUCUUCCUGCAGCACCAUGAGGCUUGCCCUGGCCAAGUUUGCACUCCCCCAAGGCUUGUCUCCUGCCUUCACUGACUGAAUCCCCUGACUGUCAGGAGAGGCUGUGUCAAUGCCUUUGAUGAUUCCUUCCCAUACCUAAGCAUGGCGCUUCCUGGAGUCCUAUGCAUAGAGUGGAUUGGCUGGUGGACUUCCUAAGCUAUGAGCUCAGAUUCUGCAGGCUGCUUGUGCACGUGGCUAUUUAUACAUAUGUUGGGGAUGGACCCUGUCCAUCACAAUCUCUGCUCUCCUCUCAAACAAUCUGGUAGAAGUGUAGGAAUACCAGAAAGAGAAUCACUUCACAAAUC
Molecule: non-coding RNA, 538 nt
Organism: Heterocephalus glaber (naked mole-rat)
Lineage: Eukaryota; Metazoa; Chordata; Mammalia; Rodentia; Bathyergidae
Source: RefSeq, a predicted model, not a curated record